Molecule: non-coding RNA, 254 nt
Organism: Pelobates cultripes (western spadefoot toad)
Lineage: Eukaryota; Metazoa; Chordata; Amphibia; Anura; Pelobatidae
Source: the annotation of a GenBank genome assembly
CAUCACUAACUAUCAGUGUGAAAGGCUCACUUUUAUCACUAUAACCAAUCUCACACUGAUAGAAACCACUGUUUUUCUUUUCAGCUGAUAUAAUUAUAUAGCUCUUGUAUUCAUACAUAUUCUGACUGUUCUUGUACCAGCGGUGACUCUGAUAUGUUUCUUUUGUAGGAUUACAUGUUGCAGUUAUUGAUUCCCCUUUGAAUAUCUUUCCUGUGUUUGGUACGACUGUAAUAAAAGGACUGGCUCCGGCUCCU